RNAcentral lists this ribosomal RNA (117 nucleotides) under Candidatus Woesebacteria bacterium RIFCSPHIGHO2_12_FULL_46_16. RNAcentral also lists the same sequence under 1 other name. The record is from RNAcentral. Lineage: Bacteria; Candidatus Woeseibacteriota.
UCUGGUCCUUUGUGCAUCCUGGAACUACCUGAUACCAUUCCGAACUCAGAAGUCAAACGGGAUAGCGCGGACGAUAGUAGCCGGGCAACUGGUUGCGAAAAUACGUCAGGGCCAGGC